Molecule: ribosomal RNA, 492 nt
Filed under: uncultured bacterium
Lineage: Bacteria
Description: partial 16S ribosomal RNA
Rfam family: Bacterial small subunit ribosomal RNA
Source: RNAcentral
AGUGAACGCUGGCGGUAGGCCUAACACAUGCAAGUCGAACGGCAGCACAGUAAGAGCUUGCUCUUACGGGUGGCGAGUGGCGGACGGGUGAGGAAUACAUCGGAAUCUACUUUUUCGUGGGGGAUAACGUAGGGAAACUUACGCUAAUACCGCAUACGACCUACGGGUGAAAGCAGGGGACCUUCGGACCUUGCGCGAUUGAAUGAGCCGAUGUCGGAUUAGCUAGUUGGCGGGGUAAAGGCCCACCAAGGCGACGAUCCGUAGCUGGUCUGAGAGGACGAUCAGCCACACUGGAACUGAGACACGGUCCAGACUCCUACGGGAGGCAGCAGUGGGGAAUAUUGGACAAUGGGCGCAAGCCUGAUCCAGCCAUACCGCGUGGGUGAAGAAGGCCUUCGGGUUGGAAAGCCCUUUUGUUGGGAAAGAAAAGCAGCAGGUUAAUACCCCGCUGUUCUGACGGUACCCAAAGAAUAAGCACCGGCUAACUUCGUG